GACGAACGCUGGCGGCGUGCUUAACACAUGCAAGUCGAACGGUAAGGCCCUCCGGGGUACACGAGCGGCGAACGCGAGCGUAACACGUGGGCGAUCUGCCCUGCACUUCGGGAUAAGCAUGGGAACCUGGAUCUAAUACCGAAUACGAACAGUGGCUGCAUGGGUGUGGUGGGGAGGUUAUGCGGUGUGGGAUGGGCCCGCGGCCUAUCAGCUUGUUGGUGGGGUGGUGGCCUACCAAGGCGAUGACGGGUAGCCGGCCUGAGAGGGUGACCGGCCACACUGGGACUGAGAUACGGCCCAGACUCCUACGGGAGGCAGCAGUGGGGAAUAUUGCACAAUGGGCGGAAGCCUGAUGCAGCGACGCCGCGUGAGGGAUGACGGCCUUCGGGUUGUAAACCUCUUUCAGCACCGACGAAGCGCAAGUGACGGUAGGGGCAGAAGAAGGACCGGCCAACUACGUGCCAGCAGCCGCGGUAA
This 477-nucleotide ribosomal RNA is filed under the name uncultured bacterium. RNAcentral's name for it is "partial 16S ribosomal RNA". It matches the Rfam family "Bacterial small subunit ribosomal RNA", at positions 28 to 523 of the family's 1533-position model. The record is from RNAcentral.